This 433-nucleotide ribosomal RNA is filed under the name uncultured bacterium. RNAcentral describes it as "partial 16S ribosomal RNA". It matches the Rfam family "Bacterial small subunit ribosomal RNA", at positions 29 to 507 of the family's 1533-position model. The record is from RNAcentral.
AACGAACGCUGGCGGCAGGCCUAACACAUGCAAGUCGAGCGGACCCUUCGGGGUUAGCGGCGGACGGGUGAGUAACGCGUGGGAAUAUGCCCUUCUCUACGGAAUAGUCCUGGGAAACUGGGGGUAAUACCGUAUACGCCCUUUGGGGGAAAGAUUUAUCGGGGAAGGAUUAGCCCGCGUUGGAUUAGGUAGUUGGUGGGGUAAUGGCCCACCAAGCCGACGAUCCAUAGCUGGUUUGAGAGGAUGAUCAGCCACACUGGGACUGAGACACGGCCCAGACUCCUACGGGAGGCAGCAGUGGGGAAUCUUAGACAAUGGGGGCAACCCUGAUCUAGCCAUGCCGCGUGAGUGAUGAAGGCCUUAGGGUUGUAAAGCUCUUUCAGCUGGGAAGAUAAUGACGGUACCAGCAGAAGAAGCCCCGGCUAACUCCGUG